UUGGCGCUGGGUCAGGCUCUGCCUACUCUCCUCCCCUGCCGACUGACAUUCAAUGCUUUCCUAUGGAGAUUUCAGCGAUGUUGGAGGUCCUCACAUAGCGUGAGGACAUCCAGCGUCACUUAAAACACUUUUUGAUAGACAGCCACUAGAGGAGGACUUAACCCUGCAAGGUAAUUAUUGCAGCUUACAAAAACUGCAAUAAUUACACUUGCAGGGUUAAGGGUAGUUGGCGUUAGCACCCAGACCACUCCAAUGGGCAGAAAUGGUCUGGAGUGUCC
Molecule: non-coding RNA, 278 nt
Organism: Pelobates cultripes (western spadefoot toad)
Lineage: Eukaryota; Metazoa; Chordata; Amphibia; Anura; Pelobatidae
Source: the annotation of a GenBank genome assembly